GAUGAACGCUAGCGGCAGGCUUAAUACAUGCAAGUCGUGGGGCAGCAGGGGUGUAGCAAUACACUCGCUGGCGACCGGCAAACGGGUGCGGAACACGUACAGAACCUUCCUUCGAGCGGGGAAUAGCCCAGAGAAAUUUGGAUUAAUACCCCAUAGUAUAUUGGAGUGGCAUCACUUUAAUAUUAAAGAUUUAUCACUUG
Molecule: ribosomal RNA, 200 nt
Filed under: uncultured bacterium
Lineage: Bacteria
Description: partial 16S ribosomal RNA
Rfam family: Bacterial small subunit ribosomal RNA
Source: RNAcentral